This 253-nucleotide ribosomal RNA is filed under the name uncultured bacterium. Its description in RNAcentral is "partial 16S ribosomal RNA". It matches the Rfam family "Bacterial small subunit ribosomal RNA", at positions 524 to 776 of the family's 1533-position model. The record is from RNAcentral.
UACGUAGGGCGCAAGCGUUGUCCGGAAUUAUUGGGCGUAAAGAGCUCGUAGGCGGUCUGUUACGUCCGCUGUGAAAACCCAGGGCUUAACCCUGGGCUUGCAGUGGAUACGGGCAGACUAGAGGCAGGUAGGGGAGAAUGGAAUUCCCGGUGUAGCGGUGAAAUGCGCAGAUAUCGGGAGGAUCACCGGUGGCGAAGGCGGUUCUCUGGGCCUGUACUGACGCUGAGGAGCGAAAGCGUGGGGAGCGAACAGG